AGCAUGUGGUUUAAUUCGACGCAACGCGAAGAACCUUACCAGGGCUUGACAUCUUCUGACCGCUUAAGGAAACUUAAGCUUUCCGGAAGGUUUACUUUCUGGACAGAAAGACAGGUGGUGCAUGGUUGUCGUCAGCUCGUGUCGUGAGAUGUUGGGUUAAGUCCCGCAACGAGCGCAACCCCUACGGUUAGUUGCUAACGGGUAAGGCCGAGCACUUUAGCCGAACUGCCGUUGACAAAACGGAGGAAGCGGGGAUGACGUCAAAUCAUCAUGCCCUUUAUGUCCUGGGCUACACACGUGCUACAAUGGCCUGUACAAAGGGCAGCAAAGGGGCGACCCGGAGCAAAUCCCAAAAACAGGUCUCAGUUCGGAUUGCAGGCUGCAACUCGCCUGCAUGAAGUUGGAGUUGCUAGUAAACGCAGGUCAGCCAUACUGCGUUGAAUACGUUCCCGGGGCUU
Molecule: ribosomal RNA, 458 nt
Filed under: uncultured Desulfotomaculum sp.
Lineage: Bacteria; Bacillati; Bacillota; Clostridia; Eubacteriales; Desulfotomaculaceae
Description: bacterial SSU rRNA
Rfam family: Bacterial small subunit ribosomal RNA
Source: RNAcentral